CUCGGCAACGGAUAUCUCGACUCUCGCAUCGAUGAAGAACGUAGCGAAAUGCGAUACUUGGUGUGAAUUGCAGAAUCCCGUGAACCAUCGAGUCUUUGAACGCAAGUUGCGCCCGAAGCCAUUAGGCUGAGGGCACGUCUGCCUGGGCGUCACGC
Molecule: ribosomal RNA, 155 nt
Filed under: Origanum majorana
Lineage: Eukaryota; Viridiplantae; Streptophyta; Magnoliopsida; Lamiales; Lamiaceae
Description: 5.8S ribosomal RNA
Rfam family: 5.8S ribosomal RNA
About the family: 5.8S ribosomal RNA (5.8S rRNA) is a component of the large subunit of the eukaryotic ribosome. It is transcribed by RNA polymerase I as part of the 45S precursor that also contains 18S and 28S rRNA.
Source: RNAcentral